CGGUCGCGCUUGUGUACAUACAUACGCCUCGGCAACUUAGAGAAGUGUUUAAUUUUACUAUCACAUUUUCGAGGGAACUGGCUGGCCUGGGAUCUUGUAGAACAAUUUCGUACCAUGCAUUUUUACAGCGAUAAUUCACAGCGAUUACCGUUGAUCAAAGUGAACACACACGUUGACGUAUAUGUGAUUUACCAUCUAUUCGUAAACGUCGAUUACCGAGGUAAUUAUAGUAUCAUAACAUACAAUGUAUCUCAUUUAAUAACCUACAUUUCUCAACAUUUCAUCUUUCAUCACAGUUAGUGCAAGGAAAAUUAGUUUUACAUUUUGUACUUGGUUCUGUGAUGUCGAGAUACUCUCAUUUAUCAUUUAUCAUAAUAAUAUAACGAUAAAAUGAUACAAUGAUGUAAUAAUUCAGAGAUGGUGUGUGGAAACUGGCCACUCCGUACGCCUGCCUGCCGGCAACUUGACGUACGCUUACCAAUCCACAUAAUUUUCACGUGCGUGAACCUCUGCGGCUCCCCCGCUAGCGUCGGUUCACGCGAGUAAAAAUUUUGUGGAUUGGUGAGGGUAUGUCAAGUUGCCGCUAGUCAGGCGUACGGAGUGGCUAGUUUCCACAUAUUAUCCCUGUAUAACAUGCAUACACAGGUAUAGGCGUAGGUUAGGUAUCGCGUGGCUUCUAAUAAACCCUGUAUCAUUCUUAAACUCGCAUGCAAAUGCAUCUCUGUAAUAUUGAUCUACUUGAUUACAGCACGUUGCAUAGCUAUCACAAUUCAUAAAACACAAUCAUAUACGGUUAGGUUGAUACUGAAUCGCUUCGCGGCCAAGCUCGCUCAGACAACUCUCUGUAGCCGGUCCAGCUACACGAAAAAUUUGUCCAAACGCGCGCUUGGCCGCGAAGCGAUUCAGAACCAACUCAACCAGGCUAUCGCAAUCACGAGUGUUGCAAGUUAUUUGUACGCCAGAUAAACGCGUUCCUCUGAUGAAACUAAAGCGAACACGCGCGUAUAUCUUUAGCAGCAAUGUACAUAAACCUCAGUCAUAAUUGGCGUAGUAAGACAAUACGCGAUAUGAAUUAAGUUGGCGCAAAAUAUCAUUAGGGGAAUUGACAGCAUCGCGACGGCAGAGGUGGGGAUCCGGCGCCGCUCGACCCGCAUCCAUCGUACGUAAGGUCCACCGGAGAUAUUAUCGCGUAGUGUCUAACUACACCACUUAUGAACGAAGUUCGUGUACUACUAAUUUUUUUUUUUUUUUUUUUUAUGGUGUCCAAAAGUUGAAAGUACAUUUAAAAACAAGGAUUUUGGCGCCUAUUAGAGCCCGUAAUUUUAAUAACACGGGAAAUUUUUUUUUUUUCAUUUUUGAAUUUGAAUUAAUUCGGAACGGCUUGUUCACGCAACACAUCCCAGUGAGAGGAUUUAUAGGAAAUUUA
Molecule: unclassified non-coding RNA, 1426 nt
Filed under: Athalia rosae (coleseed sawfly)
Lineage: Eukaryota; Metazoa; Arthropoda; Insecta; Hymenoptera; Athaliidae
Description: misc RNA ENSAEAG00005001442.1
Source: RNAcentral